RNAcentral lists this small nuclear RNA (274 nucleotides) under Cavia porcellus (domestic guinea pig). Its description in RNAcentral is "7SK RNA". It matches the Rfam family "7SK RNA". Rfam says of the family: 7SK was discovered as an abundant small nuclear RNA in the mid-70s but a possible function has only recently been suggested. Two independent studies have found that 7SK RNA binds the CDK9/cyclin T complex (known as elongation factor P-TEFb). Lineage: Eukaryota; Metazoa; Chordata; Mammalia; Rodentia; Caviidae. The record is from Rfam by way of RNAcentral.
GGAUGGAAGGGCAAUCUCGCUGCAACAUCUGUCACCCCACUGAUCAUCAGGGUUGAUUCGGCUGAUCUCAGUGUCCCCUUAUCACUUCCCUCUCCAUGUGCAACUCUCUGAAUGCUAUGCAAGGAGGAAAAGGAUGACCUUCCUGUUUUCUUGGUCAAGGGUAUACAAGCAGCUGCACUCACUGCUAGAGCUUUCAAAGAAGUUCUCAAGGGAAGCUGAGAUUUAUUGUAAGGAAUUUUUUCUCUCAAGCAUGCAUCCAGCUGCCCACCACACU